UGUUACCUACGGGGCGCAGCAGUGGGGAAUAUUGGGCAAUGGGCGCAAGCCUGGCCCAGCAAUGCCGCGUGAAGGAAGAAGGCCCUCGGGUUGUAAACUUCUUUUAUCAGGGACGAAGGAUGUGACGGUACCUGAUGAAUAAGCUCCGGCUAACUACGUGCCAGCAGCCGCGGUAAUACGGAGGAUGCGAGCGUUAUCCGGAUUCAUUGGGUUUAAAGGGUGCGCAGGCGGGCCUUUAAGCCGGCGGUGAAAUCGCGGGGCUCAACCCCGCC
This 272-nucleotide ribosomal RNA is filed under the name uncultured bacterium. RNAcentral's name for it is "partial 16S ribosomal RNA". It matches the Rfam family "Bacterial small subunit ribosomal RNA", at positions 333 to 619 of the family's 1533-position model. The record is from RNAcentral.